This is a non-coding RNA of Pelobates cultripes (western spadefoot toad), 204 nucleotides long. The record is from the annotation of a GenBank genome assembly. Lineage: Eukaryota; Metazoa; Chordata; Amphibia; Anura; Pelobatidae.
CCUUUAGGAUUCCUAAGUAUGGUUUUGAAGACUAUGACAUGUGCUGGUCAGAUUUCACUUAUUGAUGGCAUACAGCUUGGGAUUCUCCUUAGCAUUCCUCUGGAUUUGAUAUAAAUAUAAAACAAUAAUUAACAGCUCUGUUAUCUAUAAAGCCAAGUUUCUGCCAUAGAUCUAACGCAUUGCAUGACUUCAUGUAAAUGAUCU